GCAUAUCAAUAAGCGGAGGAAAAAGAAACCAACAGGGAUUGCCCUAGUAACGGCGAGUGAAGCGGCAACAGCUCAAAUUUGAAAUCUGGCUCUUUCAGAGUCCGAGUUGUAAUUUGCAGAGGGCGCUUUGGCUUUGGCAGCGGUCCAAGUUCCUUGGAACAGGACGUCACAGAGGGUGAGAAUCCCGUACGUGGUCGCUAGCUAUUGCCGUGUAAAGCCCCUUCGACGAGUCGAGUUGUUUGGGAAUGCAGCUCUAAAUGGGAGGUAAAUUUCUUCUAAAGCUAAAUAUUGGCCAGAGACCGAUAGCGCACAAGUAGAGUGAUCGAAAGAUGAAAAGCACUUUGGAAAGAGAGUCAAACAGCACGUGAAAUUGUUGAAAGGGAAGCGCUUGCAGCCAGACUUGCUUGCAGUUGCUCAUCCGGGCUUUUGCCCGGUGCACUCUUCUGCAGGCAGGCCAGCAUCAGUUUGGGCGGUGGGAUAAAGGUCUCUGACACGUACCACCUUUCGGGGUGGACAUAUAGGGGAGAUGACAUACCACCAGCCUGGACUGAGGUCCGCGCAUCUGCUAGGAUGCUGGCGUAAUGGCUGUAAGCGGCCCGUCUUGAAACACGGACCAAGGAGUCUAACAUCUAUGCGAGUGUUUGGGUGUCAAGCCCGAGCGCGUAAUGAAAGUGAACGGAGGUGGGAACCCGCAAGGGUGCACCAUCGACCGAUCCUGAAGUUUACGGAAGGAUUUGAGUAAGAGCAUGGCUGUUGGGACCCGAAAGAUGGUGAACUAUGCUUGAAUAGGGUGAAGCCAGAGGAAACUCUGGUGGAGGCUCGCAGCGGUUCUGACGUGCAAAUCGAUCGUCAAAUUUGGGCAUAGGGGCGAAAGACUAAUCGAACUAUCUAGUAGCUGGUUCCUGCCGA
Molecule: ribosomal RNA, 909 nt
Filed under: Curvularia lunata var. lunata
Lineage: Eukaryota; Fungi; Ascomycota; Dothideomycetes; Pleosporales; Pleosporaceae
Description: LSU rRNA
Rfam family: Eukaryotic large subunit ribosomal RNA
Source: RNAcentral